CAGAGCUGGGUCCAGAGCCCAGCCGGGAACUCCUCCUGAUACCAGGACACUGUGCCUACUCCCAGGGAGAGCUGCACAAGAGAAACUCUCCAGUCUGUUGCCUUUUCCAGAAAUGCCCAGGACAAUUCGAUACUCACUUGGGACCAAGGUGUUUCCCCAAAGCCUCAUGUGGGCACAGGUUUGUAGCCUGGAUGGAAUAGAAAGGGAAAGGCAGGCCCACUGCUUGCUUUGUGCUGCUUCCUGCCUGCCUUACUGUACAUGGACCGUUUCUCUUCUUGGAUGCCUGCUGCCACUCCACCCUGCCUUGGUGCCUGCUGACUGUGGACUGAAACCUCUACAAACUGGAUCGAACUGAAGACCUGCUCUUGGCAGGCAGACGCGGCACCACUGAGCUCCAUCCCUGGCCCCGUGACGUCCUCCUCUGAAUCGCACUGCAUUCCCGGUGUGCUUUUGGAAUCGCUCUUGCCCGGCAGCCCUACAGCUCACCUGCUGACCCCAUGGUGCUCCCUCCACUUCACCAUGGAAACCAGGCGUCCCAGAGAGGCUGGGGACUUGCCCAGAGUCACUCGCUGACUAGUGGCCCUGGAACUCUGACCAAGAUGACCUCACUGCUUCAUUUGUGCCUUCUUGGGGCACGCAUCUCACUCCACUUUCUGCUGUAGUUAUUUUUUUGGGUUUAUUUUAUUUGUUUGUAUGCCAACUCUUAGGGAGUCUUUUCUUUUUAGCCGCUGGCACCAAGCUUCUAGUUUGGAAUUUUGGCGACAGUCUCGAUUUCAAAUAGUUUAUGCUACUAUACAGAUAAGUACUCGUGACUUAAUUUUCGUAAUGUGUGGUCAGUUGUCAUAAAUGUUCAGAACGCUUCAGGCAGUAAAUAACUAUCUGUGUAGUGAAUUGAACGAUAGGGGCAAACAAGGCUCAUUUAAGAUGUGAGUGUGUGUAUAGACAUGUGUGCAUGAGAGAGAUUGAAACCCCCAAGUAAUACAUAAUACUUUGUUAAACUAACAAACACAGAUUUCAAGUGGUGACCAAGUACUUGCGCCUGUGUAUAUUUUGGUACCGGGGAACGAACUUGGGUCCUUGCGCUUGCGCAGCAGGCGGUGAAACCACUGAGCCAAAUCCCCGGCCCCCAAGGCCUGUGUAUAUUUUGAAGGAACCAUGUGACACAGAAUAAGAAAUAACAGCUUUCGGCAUCAUUUCAUUUCCAACAUCACAACAGAGAGAGAAAUCUGACUGCGCUGUAACUUCUUCUGUGAAUGGUCUGCAACUGUUUUCUCUUGCCGUAAAACUGUCGCUCUGCCAACUUUCCUUCUGCUUCAUUCUCAUGCUGUAAUUUCAGACUUAGUGCAGCUGCUGAUUUGUGAGAAUUGCUAAUUACCAUAUUUUCUAUUAAUCUCUAGCAUGACCCUCUAGCCCAGCUUCUGUUGGGAGGUACAACUUUUCCCAGGCAUCUAGAAAUUGGAAAUUAGAGAUCUGAAGGUAUUUCUGUGGUCACUUGUAACAUCAAUUACCUUUUAGACUCUUACGUGUGUGGAAGCACUUUGAGAACUCCCCGAAAGGGUAGCACUUCCCAAAUCACCUGCCUGGAGGAGCAAGGGUUAAUUCCACAGGCGGAAGGCGAAUCCUUAAGAACUGGAGACAGAAUGAGGUGCUGCCUUCAUUAUGACCCAUCCUCAACUUUGAUUCCAUUUCAUUCUAGAGUUCAGAGCUCAGCUUUUGCCAUUAAAUCUCAACCUACGUCACCUUUAAAUGCCAGGUAAGAGCUAGCCACCUUUGGAGGAUACUGACAUUGGCCUUCGGGUCAUGUUUCUUCUUACCCUUCCAUCGUAUUCACUGUUUAAACUAAAC
RNAcentral lists this long non-coding RNA (1845 nucleotides) under Heterocephalus glaber (naked mole-rat). Its description in RNAcentral is "lncRNA (ENSHGLG00100038983.1)". The record is from RNAcentral. Lineage: Eukaryota; Metazoa; Chordata; Mammalia; Rodentia; Bathyergidae.